RNAcentral lists this transfer RNA (63 nucleotides) under Hiatella arctica. RNAcentral's name for it is "tRNA-His". Lineage: Eukaryota; Metazoa; Mollusca; Bivalvia; Adapedonta; Hiatellidae. The record is from RNAcentral.
GCUAAUUUAGUUUAAAAUAAAACGUUGUGUUGUGGUCACAAAAAUAAAGUAAUUUAAUUGGUU